This 436-nucleotide ribosomal RNA is filed under the name uncultured bacterium. Its description in RNAcentral is "bacterial SSU rRNA". It matches the Rfam family "Bacterial small subunit ribosomal RNA", at positions 954 to 1392 of the family's 1533-position model. The record is from RNAcentral.
GCUAAACGCGAAGAACCUUACCCAGGCUUGACAUAUAGAGGACGGCAUUAGAGAUAGUGCUUCCGCAAGGUCUCUAUACAGGUGCUGCAUGGCUGUCGUCAGCUCGUGCCGUGAGGUGUUGGGUUAAGUCCCGCAACGAGCGCAACCCUCGUCGCUAGUUACCAACAUGUAAUGAUGGGGACUCUAGCGAGACUGCCUAGGUUAACUAGGAGGAAGGUGAGGAUGACGUCAAGUCCGCAUGGCCUUUAUGUCUGGGGCUACACACGUGCUACAAUGGUCGGUACAGAAGGCAGCGAAGCCGAAAGGUGGAGCAAAUCCUCAAAGCCGAUCCCAGUUCGAAUAGAAGUCUGCAACUCGACUUCUUGAAGUUGGAAUUGCUAGUAAUGACGUGUCAGCAAUAACGUCGUGAAUACGUUCCCGGGUCUUGUACACACCG